AUGUCUAGCGCUAAUCCUAGCGAGAUUGAUCCAUUUGACAGUGUCUACUCAAACAUCCCAGACAUCACUCACAUCCUGAAACUCGCUGAAAAUUGCAAACACUGCAAGGCCAGGAAGUUUGAGUCUGAGACUGGCGGGUUCUGCUGUUGCAAUGGCCAGAUUCAGCUUAAGCAUCCGGAACCAAUCCCAGAGCUUAUGAGGCUAUGGUCCAGCAUGGAUGCAGAUUCUAGACAUUUUCGAGAGAACAUACGGUUCUCCAACGGGCAUUUCGCCUUCACAACCCUUGGCGUCAGCCUUGAUGAAAACUACACAAACAUGAAGUCUGGGGUGUACACAUUCCGAGCA
This 345-nucleotide ribosomal RNA is filed under the name Triticum aestivum (bread wheat). RNAcentral's name for it is "partial small subunit ribosomal RNA". Lineage: Eukaryota; Viridiplantae; Streptophyta; Magnoliopsida; Poales; Poaceae. The record is from RNAcentral.